RNAcentral lists this ribosomal RNA (2161 nucleotides) under Candidatus Yanofskybacteria bacterium RIFCSPHIGHO2_01_FULL_44_22. RNAcentral describes it as "bacterial SSU rRNA". The stretch from base 246 to 2161 matches the Rfam family "Bacterial small subunit ribosomal RNA", at positions 1 to 1358 of the family's 1533-position model. Lineage: Bacteria; Candidatus Yanofskyibacteriota. The record is from RNAcentral.
GAGAGUUUGAUUCUAGCUCAGGAUGAACGCUGGCGGCACCGAUAAGUCAUGCAAGUCAAACGUGUCAGUGCGGGGCACUGACCGCGGAAUGACGCAGAACUGACGCAGACAAUCGCAGAAAAAUAUUUCUUUCUGCGUAGGUCUGCGUUUAGUCGGCGUACUUCUGCGGCCAAUGCUCUGCAUUGGCAAGUGGCGAACGAAUUAGUAACACAUUGGCAUCUACCUUAAAGUCAGGCAAAACUAGUCGAAAGAUUGGCUAAUUCCUGAUGGUCUCGCAAGAGUAAAGGCGCAAGCCGCUUUAAGAGGAGCCUAUGUCCCAUCAGCUUGUUGGCGGGGUAAUGGCCCACCAAGGCUAUGACGGGUAGGGGGUGUGAGAGCACGACCCUCAAUGACGAAACUGAGAUACGGUUCGUACACCUACGGGUGGCAGCAGACGAGAAUAUUCGACAAUGGGCGAAAGCCUGAUCGAGGGAUGCCGCGUGCAGGAAGAAGUCCUUCGGGAUGUAAACUGCUUUUGCGUGGGAAAAAAUAGCCCCCUCACUCAGGGAUUUUGUUAGUCUUGACGACGCGAAUUUUAGUCGGAUUCGCGACGCGAAGAGCGAUGUGUGCCUUUAGGCACAUAAGCGAUGAGCAACAAAGAAGAUGUCUAAAAUUCACUAGCCCCUUGGGAAGUGAACUAACGGGCGAUUUCUUUGUUACUCCUCCUCGUAGUGGCAUUAACCACAACUUCGUCGUCGUGCCUCGAAAUCGCCUCGUUUGUUCACUUUCAAGAUUUAAUAAAAUCCUUGAGUGAGGGGGCCCUGAUUGUACCACGAGAAUAAGGGGUUGCUAACUCUGUGCCAGCAGCAGCGGUAAUACAGAGACCCCAAGCGUUAUCCGGAAUUACUGGGCGUAAAGAGCGAGCAGCCGGUUCUGUUAGUCUGGCGUUAAAUCCUUCGGCUUAACCGGAGAACCGCGUUGGAAACGGCAGAACUAGGGCAGGUGAGAGGCAAGCGGAACGUGCGGUGUAGGGGUGAAAUCCAUUGAUAUCGCACGGAACACCAAAAGCGAAAGCAGCUUGCUGGCGCUUUGCCGACGGUCAUUCGCGAAAGCGUGGGCAUAAAAAAGGAUUAGAUACCCUUGUAUUCCACGCCCUAAACCAUGCUGACCAGCUAUUGGGAGCAUCGACCCUUCCAGUGGCGAAGCUAACGCGUUAAGUCAGCCGCCUGGGAAGUACGAGCGCAAGCUUAAAACUUAAAGAAAUAGGCGGGAAUUCGCACAAGCGGUGGAUCAUGUGGUUCAAUUCGACACUGAGCGAGAAACCUCACCAGGGUUUGAAAUCCUAGUGAAAUCCUCGGGAAACCGAGGCCCCCGCAAGGCACUAGGACAGGUGCUGCACGGCUGAAACUUUCGGCCGGUAGGGGAGCAAUUCCCUACAAAAAGAACCAACUCAUAACGGUGGAGUCCUGAAUAUUUUAAUGCUAAAAUUAAAAUAUGGAUAAUACCGUGGAAAGCUCGAGUACAAGUUUUUGUAACUUUCCGAAAACAACCGAAGAUUAUUACAUUCUUGGUCUUUGGAUAUAAGCUUUACGUGAAUUGCAGGCCGUUACUAAGAAUUUUUAAAGAAUUCAAGGAUAAUGGCGAGAGAAGUAUAAAUAAUUUUGUAAUUUAUAUCUCCAGAUUCGAUACUAAUAAAUUUACAAAUGCAAUCAGUCUGUAUUCAAUGAAGUUACAAAAACUUGUACUUGGGUCCCGUAGAGACUCUGACUAUACAGAGAUAGUAUAGUCAGGAUGGCAACAAAUACUUAGUAUUGCCAUAAAACGUUGGCCCCCGCCAAGGCGGGGUGAAAGUAUAGUCCGUACCAUUAGGAAUAGUGGAAUAAUAUGGUCGUCAGCUCGUCAUGUAAAUGGUUUCCUUAAGUGGAUUAACGAGCGCAACCCCUAUUGUCUGUUAUAUUUGUCAGGCGAGACUGCUCCGGUAACGGAGAGGAAGGUGGGGAUGACGUCAAGUCAGCGUGGCCCUCUGAUAUCCUGGGCUACACACAUGAUACAAUGGGCGUUACAAUGGGUUGCCAAGCCGCGAGGCGGAGCUAAUCCCAUCAAAGGCGCCCCCAGUUCGGAUAGGAGGCUGCAACUUGCCUCCUUGAAGCCGGAAUCGCUAGUAAUCGCUGAUCAGAACGCA